Molecule: long non-coding RNA, 341 nt
Filed under: Elaeis guineensis (African oil palm)
Lineage: Eukaryota; Viridiplantae; Streptophyta; Magnoliopsida; Arecales; Arecaceae
Description: long non-coding RNA (EGUI_LNC075697)
Source: RNAcentral
CGGACCGCAGCGGGCACGACGAAGGCCGACGGCAGGGGGCAACUCUCUCGAGUUCGAAGAGGCCAAGGCCAGCGGUCGGCAGUGAUCGCCGGCGUCGGAAAAUCAAAGAGAAGAAGAGGCCAAACAGAGGGGUCCCUUCUCCGAUGAAAUUCGGCGACACUGUCACUGGCAGUCGUGCACAGAGGCACGGGAAGAAGGAGAGAGAAGAGAGGAAGAGGAAGAAGGCUUACCUCAGCCUCCGAUGAUUCCGCCGGCGAGAAAUCGCGGCGAGCACGAAUCAAUGGGCCGCGGCUUCAAUCGGAGAAAUCAGGGAGGAAGAGAGGGAGAAAGACCGGUGGGGG